This is an RNA transcript of Mangifera indica (mango), 1428 nucleotides long. It is a transcript of the gene named chlorophyllide a oxygenase, chloroplastic-like, with no coding region annotated. NCBI's taxonomy places the organism in Eukaryota, Viridiplantae, Streptophyta, Magnoliopsida, Sapindales, Anacardiaceae. The transcript has 8 exons. The record is from RefSeq and is a predicted model, not a curated record.
UCCUACAAGAGAGUAUGUGAAUGUCCAACAAGACACUAGUGCCACCGAAGUGUCCAUGCCUGUCCACGUGGCAUACGAUGGCAGGCCAACUGCGAUCGCGGCCAACACCAGCCUCUUAUCAGCAAAUUUGGUUACAUUUUUUUUCUCUCCCUCCCUCUUCACUCUGCGUACAGUUCAAACGCCAUGAGCACUGCUGCUACUGCUGCUUUUCUGUCUCUUCCAAUCUCGCUGUGUGUUCAAGGAGGAUUCAGGGUAUUAGCUGUAAUUGUGGGGGACAGUGGCUUAGUAGAUAAGAAGAAUGGAUGGAGCACACUAUUCAAUCUGGAGGAUCCAAGGUCUAAAGUCCCUCAAUGUAAAGGAAAGUUUUUGGAUGUGAACCAAGCGCUUGAAGUAGCUAAGUAUGAUAUUCAGUACUGUGAUUGGAAGGCUCGACAAUGUGUGCUCACAAUUAUGCUUCUCCAUGAGAAGGUUGUUGAAGUUCUAAACCCUCUGACACAUGAUUACAAGUCCAUUGGCACAAUGAGGAAAGAGCUUGCUGAGUUGCAAGAAGAACUAUCUCUGGCUCAUAAUAAGGUUCAUAUAUCUGAAGCAAGGGUUGCCACUGCUUUGGAUAAACUAACUCACAUGGAAACAUUGGUUAAUGAUAGGCUGUUACAAGAUAGAAACACCUCAGAAUCUGAUCAAAGUUGCUAUUCUCCUUAUACUUCUACGCAAUCGCUGGAUACCAUUAAAGCAAAGUUGCCUCGGAAAAGCUUGAAUGUCUUCGGUCCAGUUCAAUCUUAUCAUCCCCAAUUGAAAAACUUCUGGUAUCCUGUUGCUUUCUCCUCCAAUCUCAAGGAUGAUACAAUGAUUCCAACUGAAUGCUUUGAGGAACCAUGGGUUAUCUUUCGUGGCAAAGAUGGGAAACCUGGAUGUGUCCAGGAUACAUGUGCACAUAGAGUCUAUAGUGACUGAUACAAAUGGAAAAUGUGAGAAAAUGCCAUCUACAAGAUUGCUUAAUGUGAAUAUAAAAUCAGUGCCAUGUUUUGAAAACGAGGGAAUGACUUGGAUUUGGCCUGGUGAUGAGGCUCCAACUGCCAACCUUCCUUCUUUAUUACCUCCUUCAGAAUUUGAAAUUCAUGCUGAGAUUGUUAUGAAACUUCCAAUUGAACAGGGGCUACUUCAGGAUAACCUUUUAGAACUAGCUCAUGCUCCAUUUACCCACUCUUCUACUUUGCCAAGGGAUGGAGUGUUCCCAGCUUGGUGAACUUUUUAACACCUGCAUCUGGCCCCCAAGGAUACUGGGACCCUUAUCCAAUGGAUAUGGAAUUUCGACCUCCAUGUAUGGUGCUAUCAACCGUUGGGAUAUCAAAACCUGGAAAAUUGGAAGGACGGAGUAACAGAUAGUGUUCAACACGUCUUCAUCAUCUUCACGUCUGCUUACCUUCA